GCACCCGUAGCUCAGAGGAUAGAGCAGCGGAUUUCUAAUCCGUUGGUCGCGUGUUCGAAUCACGCCGGGUGCGCCA
Molecule: transfer RNA, 76 nt
Filed under: Methylacidiphilum caldifontis
Lineage: Bacteria; Pseudomonadati; Verrucomicrobiota; Methylacidiphilae; Methylacidiphilales; Methylacidiphilaceae
Description: Methylacidiphilum sp. IT6 tRNA-Arg
Rfam family: tRNA
About the family: Transfer RNA (tRNA) molecules are approximately 80 nucleotides in length. Their secondary structure includes four short double-helical elements and three loops (D, anti-codon, and T loops).
Source: RNAcentral